This 245-nucleotide unclassified non-coding RNA is filed under the name Coniosporium apollinis. RNAcentral describes it as "partial internal transcribed spacer region". The stretch from base 1 to 46 matches the Rfam family "Eukaryotic small subunit ribosomal RNA", at positions 1786 to 1831 of the family's 1831-position model. Lineage: Eukaryota; Fungi; Ascomycota; Dothideomycetes. The record is from RNAcentral.
AAGUCGUAACAAGGUUUCCGUAGGUGAACCUGCGGAAGGAUCAUUACCGAGUAUCGGGUCCUCGCGGCCCGCACUCCAACCCUCUGUGUACCAACUUUGUUGCUUUGGCGGGCCCGCGGUGUAACGCUGCAGCCGGCUCACGCCGGUUAGCGCCCGCCAGAGAACCGUUAAACUCUUGUUUAAACAGUGUCGUCUGAGCAAAAUCAUAAUAGUUAAAACUUUCAACAACGGAUCUCUUGGUUCUG